AGAGUUUGAUCAUGGCUCAGAUUGAACGCUGGCGGCAGGCCUAACACAUGCAAGUCGAACGGUAACAGGAAACAGCUUGCUGUUUCGCUGACGAGUGGCGGACGGGUGAGUAAUGUCUGGGAAACUGCCUGAUGGAGGGGGAUAACUACUGGAAACGGUAGCUAAUACCGCAUAACGUCGCAAGACCAAAGAGGGGGACCUUCGGGCCUCUUGCCAUCAGAUGUGCCCAGAUGGGAUUAGCUAGUAGGUGGGGUAACGGCUCACCUAGGCGACGAUCCCUAGCUGGUCUGAGAGGAUGACCAGCCACACUGGAACUGAGACACGGUCCAGACUCCUACGGGAGGCAGCAGUGGGGAAUAUUGCACAAUGGGCGCAAGCCUGAUGCAGCCAUGCCGCGUGUAUGAAGAAGGCCUUCGGGUUGUAAAGUACUUUCAGCGGGGAGGAAGGGAGUAAAGUUAAUACCUUUGCUCAUUGACGUUACCCGCAGAAGAAGCACCGGCUAACUCCGUGCCAGCAGCCGCGGUAAUACGGAGGGUGCAGGCGUUAAUCGGAAUUACUGGGCGUAAAGCGCACGCAGGCGGUUUGUUAAGUCAGAUGUGAAAUCCCCGGGCUCAACCUGGGAACUGCAUCUGAUACUGGCAAGCUUGAGUCUCGUAGAGGGGGGUAGAAUUCCAGGUGUAGCGGUGAAAUGCGUAGAGAUCUGGAGGAAUACCGGUGGCGAAGGCGGCCCCCUGGACGAAGACUGACGCUCAGGUGCGAAAGCGUGGGGAGCAAACAGGAUUAGAUACCCUGGUAGUCCACGCCGUAAACGAUGUCGACUUGGAGGUUGUGCCCUUGAGGCGUGGCUUCCGGAGCUAACGCGUUAAGUCGACCGCCUGGGGAGUACGGCCGCAAGGUUAAAACUCAAAUGAAUUGACGGGGGCCCGCACAAGCGGUGGAGCAUGUGGUUUAAUUCGAUGCAACGCGAAGAACCUUACCUGGUCUUGACAUCCACGGAAGUUUUCAGAGAUGAGAAUGUGCCUUCGGGAACCGUGAGACAGGUGCUGCAUGGCUGUCGUCAGCUCGUGUUGUGAAAUGUUGGGUUAAGUCCCGCAACGAGCGCAACCCUUAUCCUUUGUUGCCAGCGGUCCGGCCGGGAACUCAAAGGAGACUGCCAGUGAUAAACUGGAGGAAGGUGGGGAUGACGUCAAGUCAUCAUGGCCCUUACGACCAGGGCUACACACGUGCUACAAUGGCGCAUACAAAGAGAAGCGACCUCGCGAGAGCAAGCGGACCUCAUAAAGUGCGUCGUAGUCCGGAUUGGAGUCUGCAACUCGACUCCAUGAAGUCGGAAUCGCUAGUAAUCGUGGAUCAGAAUGCCACGGUGAAUACGUUCCCGGGCCUUGUACACACCGCCCUUCACACCAUGGGAGUGGGUUGCAAAAGAAGUAGGUAGCUUAACCUUCGGGAGGGCGCUUACCACUUUGUGAUUCAUGACUGGGGUGAAGUCGUAACAAGGUAACCGUAGGGGAACCUGCGGUUG
This 1522-nucleotide ribosomal RNA is filed under the name metagenome. RNAcentral describes it as "bacterial SSU rRNA". It matches the Rfam family "Bacterial small subunit ribosomal RNA". The record is from RNAcentral.